RNAcentral lists this ribosomal RNA (392 nucleotides) under uncultured bacterium. RNAcentral describes it as "bacterial SSU rRNA". It matches the Rfam family "Bacterial small subunit ribosomal RNA", at positions 30 to 426 of the family's 1533-position model. The record is from RNAcentral.
AUUGAACGCUGGCGGCAUGCCUUACACAUGCAAGUCGAACGGCAGCGGACCUUCGGGUGCCGGCGAGUGGCGAACGGGUGAGUAAUAUAUCGGAACGUACCUUUCAGUGGGGGAUAACGUAGCGAAAGUUACGCUAAUACCGCAUAUUCUGUGAGCAGGAAAGCAGGGGAUCGCAAGACCUUGCGCUGAUUGAGCGGCCGAUAUCAGAUUAGCUAGUUGGUGAGGUAAAGGCUCACCAAGGCGACGAUCUGUAGCGGGUCUGAGAGGAUGAUCCGCCACACUGGAACUGAGACACGGUCCAGACUCCUACGGGAGGCAGCAGUGGGGAAUUUUGGACAAUGGGCGCAAGCCUGAUCCAGCUAUGCCGCGUGAGUGAAGAAGGCCUCGGUUGU